ACUCGUUGAGAUGGUGGGGGAUUGAGCAAUGCUCCAGCAGCUAAAUUUCAUGUGUAUUUUUAAAUGGAGAGGAAAAAGAAAAAAAAAGAAAAAGAAAAAAAAACCGAAAAACCCUUCUAGGCUAUGUACUGUUUACUUCUCCGGAUAGAAAAUUCAAGCUGCUAGUUCCCGUCCAGUCCUCUUUUCUGGCCAUUUGGUGUACCGACCCUGGAGAGGCUUUGCAGCCACGCACUGCAGUGGCUGCUGCCAUGAAACCUGCUUGUCUAACACACAGGGAAGCUUAAAGCUGCCGCAGAUGUGCAGAAUGACACAGCAAAGAAAUCAAGCAGCAGGUUUUCAGCGGCUGAUAAUUCCACCGAACGCAGAUCGGUGACUGAACAAUUGGAACAUUCGCUCACAAUCCCACUUCACUCCAAUUACUGUAUCUUUUCAUUUGCUCUUCCGCAAGGGCUUGCUAACGUGGUGGGAAGCAACACGUACUGUGAUGUGCAUCCGCCGAGUGCUACCUGAGAAAGCUUUUGGUGUAGAUAGGCAAUUGGAGGACUUCAGUUUAAGGGGGGGAAAUGAUGAAAGAAUAUUUUAGGCCAGCAAGAAACCCAGAUCAAGGAAUGAAUGAGCACCUGUACACAGAAAUGCCUUGGGCUCUCCAAUCCCCUGCUCAGCCUAUAAGGAACCCUAUGUUCCAUACAGGCCUUUCCCUGAUGCCCGAGAUGUGAAUGUCUGAUUCCAGGUGGAAGAAUCAGACUUGCUGACUGUUGGUAAAAGUGAGUUGACUGAAUUAAUUAAAUGAUGGUGGGCUCCAAACCUCCUACAAGCACUGUGAACAAAACACAUAAAAACUAUUUUCAUGGAGCUUUUAUUCUAGUAGUAGACAACUAACAAAUCAGUAAAGCCUAAAGCAUAUCAAUGGUGAAAAGUAUAGAGGGAAAAAAAAAACAGUAAAUGGGAAUAGGAAAUAUCAAGAAUAGAUUUUUACAAUUUUAACAUCUUUGUGGUUAAAGAGAAUGCAAACAAUACUUGUACAGCAUUUUGGAGUUUAUUUCAAUUAACGCCCAUGGUAUACACCCCUUCCUGUCCUAGAAAUGGCCGACGCUAUCGGAUUCAGCGAUCAAAACCUCAGGUUUUACUGGGACAACUCAUUAUUUUGGGGACAACUUAUUCUACCAGAUUAUUAUAAGAGACUCCCAUUUGGAAACUGCUGACUUAGAUUAUCAGCAUUAGAAAAAUUCCUUUGGCACUGAGGCCUUGAUAAGCUCCCAUCAAACCUGCAGGAAAAGCAAUAUGCAAAAUACAGAUCCACCAAUUGAGGUCUCAGUAGUUUCUAAGUAUAUUCCUGUCAGGAUGACUUCAUUAUUUAUGGAACAGAUAUAGAAUUGCCCAUUGAGAAUCAGCUAAUAUUGGAUUGUUACAUACAUUUCGUACAAUCAACAGUGAAAGAAGCCAAAAUCAAUCUUGAUGUCCCAAACUAAUAUAUUGGAUACCUAUGAUUUACAUGCCAACUAGUAUAAAAUAUAAACAGCUUUGUUUACAAAAGUUUUGCUCUAUGUGAGGGGCUGUUAAUUAAAGAGAGCAGUGUGUCCAACGUCAGAGGUCACUGUGACUUAAUGGUAAUUCAUGCAUUUAGUCUACUUUCAGUUCUUUUCAUUCUAUGCAAUUUACUCUGGAUUUUUAUAGCUACAUACAGUUUUGUAUGUAUAUUAUGAGCUGUGAAAUCCAGUUAGAAGGCUGUACUAAAGGCUAAAAAGUGGGAAAAAAUGUGAUAGAGAAAACACAUUAGGCAUGUAGGAAUUCUCAGUUCUGUAAAGUUUUUAAGAAUAAAGAAAGUUAAAUAGAGAAAUUAAAUCCCUCUUCAUUUUGAGAAUCCUCUUUACAAUGGUGUCUUAUAGCCUUGAUUUGUCUGCAUUACAAUUAUUAGGUACUUGUUUUACUUUUUGACUACUCAAAGGUGAAUUGCUCAAAGGCAAAUUCUGUAAUAUUAUUUUACUCUUCGUAUUUGGAACAUAAUGAUGUGAAUGUUAGUCAUUGCUCCAUACACAUUUAUUGGAUGAAUAAUAGCUGUGAUAUUCUUUUUUAAGGAAAACAUCUCCUUUAUUCCUAGUUUUUUAAAUCAACAACCAUAACAUAUAUUGAAAAAAACAUUAAAGAACUACAGAAUUGUUUUUCAAAUUGUGUUAUCUACCUCAUCUAGGAUAUAUAAGGGAAAAGCAUAAUAUAAAACUAAUCUCUAGUUACUUAUACCCCAAGGGUGCCUGGCAGUAAACAAACAUAAAUCUGGAAGGAUUUCAAACUUACAAAACAUGUAAAGAAAUAAUCCAUCAUAAGCAAGGCUCAGCAGUAAUCGUAAACAUUAGAACAAGACACCAAAGAAUAUCAGUUAAUAAAGUCAUAGUUAUAAACCAGAAAUAAAUAAGCUUAAAUAAUCACAGAUAUAAAAAUUAAUCAAAACAUAAAAAAAGUAACAAAAUAAUUUAAAAAGCACCA
Long non-coding RNA from Felis catus (domestic cat), 2481 nucleotides. RefSeq lists it as uncharacterized. The record is from RefSeq and is a predicted model, not a curated record. The transcript has 3 exons. NCBI's taxonomy places the organism in Eukaryota, Metazoa, Chordata, Mammalia, Carnivora, Felidae.